This 250-nucleotide ribosomal RNA is filed under the name uncultured bacterium. RNAcentral's name for it is "partial 16S ribosomal RNA". It matches the Rfam family "Bacterial small subunit ribosomal RNA", at positions 524 to 773 of the family's 1533-position model. The record is from RNAcentral.
UACAGAGGGUGCAAGCGUUGUUCGGAAUCAUUGGGCGUAAAGCGCGAGUAGGCGGCUUCUUAAGUCUGAUGUGAAAGCCCGGGGCUUAACCCCGGAAGUGCAUUGGAUACUGGGAAGCUAGAGGGUGUAAGAGGAGAGUGGAAUUCAUGGUGUAGGGGUGAAAUCCGUAGAUAUCAUGAGGAACAUCAGUGGCGAAGGCGGCUCUCUGGUACACUUCUGACGCUCAGACGCGAAAGCAUGGGGAGCAAAC